RNAcentral lists this ribosomal RNA (433 nucleotides) under uncultured bacterium. RNAcentral's name for it is "partial 16S ribosomal RNA". It matches the Rfam family "Bacterial small subunit ribosomal RNA", at positions 29 to 507 of the family's 1533-position model. The record is from RNAcentral.
AGCGAACGCUGGCGGCAGGCCUAACACAUGCAAGUCGAACGAACUCUUCGGAGUUAGUGGCGGACGGGUGAGUAACACGUGGGAACGUGCCUUUUGGUUCGGAUUAACUCAGGGAAACUUGUGCUAAUACCGAAUGUGCCCUUCGGGGGAAAGAUUUAUCGCCAUUAGAGCGGCCCGCGUCUGAUUAGCUAGUUGGUGAGGUAACGGCUCACCAAGGCGACGAUCAGUAGCUGGUCUGAGAGGAUGACCAGCCACACUGGGACUGAGACACGGCCCAGACUCCUACGGGAGGCAGCAGUGGGGAAUCUUGCGCAAUGGGCGAAAGCCUGACGCAGCCAUGCCGCGUGAAUGAUGAAGGUCUUAGGAUUGUAAAAUUCUUUCACCGGGGACGAUAAUGACGGUACCCGGAGAAGAAGCCCCGGCUAACUUCGUG